UACGUAGGGUGCAAGCGUUGUCCGGAAUUAUUGGGCGUAAAGAGCUCGUAGGCGGUUUGUCGCGUCUGCUGUGAAAUCUUAGGGCUUAACCCUGAGCUUGCAGUGGGUACGGGCAGACUAGAGUGCGGUAGGGGAGACUGGAAUUCCUGGUGUAGCGGUGAAAUGCGCAGAUAUCAGGAGGAACACCGGUGGCGAAGGCGGGUCUCUGGGCCGUAACUGACGCUGAGGAGCGAAAGCAUGGGGAGCGAACAGG
RNAcentral lists this ribosomal RNA (253 nucleotides) under uncultured bacterium. RNAcentral's name for it is "partial 16S ribosomal RNA". It matches the Rfam family "Bacterial small subunit ribosomal RNA", at positions 524 to 776 of the family's 1533-position model. The record is from RNAcentral.